GAACUAUUGGUUCAGUUGGUUAGAGCCAACCGCUCAUAGCGGUUAGGUACAGUUCGAGUCCUGUAUGGUCCA
Molecule: transfer RNA, 72 nt
Filed under: Campylobacter jejuni
Lineage: Bacteria; Pseudomonadati; Campylobacterota; Epsilonproteobacteria; Campylobacterales; Campylobacteraceae
Also listed under: 3 other names
Description: tRNA-Ile
Rfam family: tRNA
About the family: Transfer RNA (tRNA) molecules are approximately 80 nucleotides in length. Their secondary structure includes four short double-helical elements and three loops (D, anti-codon, and T loops).
Source: RNAcentral